Betta splendens (Siamese fighting fish) is the source of this 874-nucleotide long non-coding RNA. RefSeq lists it as uncharacterized. The record is from RefSeq and is a predicted model, not a curated record. Lineage: Eukaryota; Metazoa; Chordata; Actinopteri; Anabantiformes; Osphronemidae. The transcript is spliced from 2 exons.
GCUGCAACAGGUAGUAAGAGGAGAAACAUAUAGACGCAAAAAAAGUGGUGCUGCGUGCGAGCAAAAGAAUUGAAAUGAAGAAGCGCAUUAAAGAAAAAGGAGAGUGGAACAUUUAGGAGGAGAAAAUGGAGAUCAGCCCGUUUUUCCUGGGCAGCUUCGUGUCUGUCCACGGUGGUCCUCCCGCUCCUUUCACUGGAGGCAGCUGGCCUCGCCAAAAUAAAGGCGCUCUUUCAGCUCGAAGGCACAGCUGCUCUUUCACAUUAAAAGCAUGAUGGUGUUGGCUCAUUCAUGUGUCACAGCGGACGACAACUGAAUGGAGCUCACACCGAGGGCAUGAAUAGAGAUCUGUGUUGAUGUCUGUGCCCUGAAUAAUAAGAUGUGGAGGGGGGCGGGUCCAGGGGAGGCCCACGUGGUGGCCCGGGUCCACUUCUGACUGAACCCUGAACCGUUGGGGCGUCUGCCUACACAUACAGUAAACACACGCUCCUGUAUACAGUACAAUGGAUUAGCACACACGCAGAGGCCACGCUAGCUAAGAGAAAUCCUUUACUUCCUGCUCUUUGACGCUCGUGAAAAGUGAGGGCACCAAUUAAUAAUUAAACUUUAUUAAUCAUGAAAUGCUGCUCUACUAACAGAUUUAAUCAGUUUAAUGUCAGUACUGCUUGACUCUGUGUCUUUCUGCAGGUGUCGGGUGUCAGUCUCUCCAGUAACUGGCUCCACCAGCCAACCUGCUGUUCUCCACUCUCUUCCUCUCAACCCGACCAGUCGAGGCAGAUGGACGCCGGAGGUUCCUUCCAUUAAAGGAGGUUCUUCCAUUAAGAGGUUUUCCUCUCCACUGUCACAUGUGACGUAAAUAAACUCUUUAACGAUUCAA